This 210-nucleotide ribosomal RNA is filed under the name uncultured bacterium. Its description in RNAcentral is "partial 16S ribosomal RNA". It matches the Rfam family "Bacterial small subunit ribosomal RNA", at positions 568 to 776 of the family's 1533-position model. The record is from RNAcentral.
UGCGCAGGCGGUCGGGUGUGUCAGAUGUGAAAUCCCGAGGCUCAACCUCGGAACUGCGUCUGAAACUACUCGACUAGAGUACUGGAGAGGGUAACGGAAUUCACGGUGUAGCAGUGAAAUGCGUAGAUAUCGUGAGGAACACCAGAGGCGAAGGCGGUUACCUGGACAGUUACUGACGCUCAGGCACGAAAAGCAUGGGGAGGACAAAAG